Molecule: ribosomal RNA, 460 nt
Filed under: uncultured bacterium
Lineage: Bacteria
Description: partial 16S ribosomal RNA
Rfam family: Bacterial small subunit ribosomal RNA
Source: RNAcentral
CCUACGGGUGGCAGCAGUGAGGAAUAUUGGUCAAUGGGCGGAAGCCUGAACCAGCCAAGUAGCGUGCAGGAUGACGGCCCUACGGGUUGUAAACUGCUUUUAUACGGGAAUAACGCGCCUUACGUGUAGGGCUUUGCAUGUACCGUAUGAAUAAGGACCGGCCAAUUCCGUGCCAGCAGCCGCGGUAAUACGGAAGGUCCGGGCGGUAUCCGGAUUUUUUGGGUUUAAAGGGAGCGUAGGCCGCAUGUCAAGCGUGCUGUGAAAUGUCCGGGGUCAACCCGGGCCUUGCAGCGCAAACUGGCGUGCUUGAGUCCGCGAGAAGCAGGCGGAAUUCGUGGUGUAGCGGUGAAAUGCUUAGAUAUGACGAAGAACCCCGAUUGCGAAGGCAGCUUGCUGCAGCGGAACUGACGCUGAGGCUCGAAAGCGCGGGUAUCGAACAGGAUUAGAUACCCGAGUAGUC